This 337-nucleotide unclassified non-coding RNA is filed under the name soil metagenome. RNAcentral describes it as "partial contains 5.8S ribosomal RNA, internal transcribed spacer 2, and large subunit ribosomal RNA". The stretch from base 1 to 120 matches the Rfam family "5.8S ribosomal RNA", at positions 35 to 154 of the family's 154-position model. The record is from RNAcentral.
GAUGAAGAACGCAGCGAAAUGCGAUAAGUAGUGUGAAUUGCAGAAUUCAGUGAAUCAUCGAAUCUUUGAACGCACAUUGCGCCCCUUGGUAUUCCAUGGGGCAUGCCUGUUCGAGCGUCAUCUACACCCUCAAGCUCUGCUUGGUGUUGGGUGUUUGUCUCGCCUCUGCGUGUAGACUCGCCUCAAAACAAUUGGCAGCCGGCGUAUUGAUUUCGGAGCGCAGUACAUCUCGCGCUUUGCACUCAUAACGACGACGUCCAAAAGUACAUUUUUACACUCUUGACCUCGGAUCAGGUAGGGAUACCCGCUGAACUUAAGCAUAUCAAUAAGCGGAGGA